Molecule: long non-coding RNA, 1473 nt
Organism: Lagopus muta (rock ptarmigan)
Lineage: Eukaryota; Metazoa; Chordata; Aves; Galliformes; Phasianidae
Exons: 3
Source: RefSeq, a predicted model, not a curated record
CAGGAAUGCUGAGCAGAGAACCUAAAAUCAGCAAGAGCAAGGAACGCUCAGCAAAUUUUGAAAACAAUGCCACAGCAGUUUCGCCCAAGAUGGAAACUUAAAAGGUCCACCAUGAACUUUGCUGGAGAAAAGAGUCCACUUUGAAGCUGCAAUCCAAUGAAUACACGGGUCAUUUUGAGCAUAAAACAUAAAGAGACAUGAACCAUGAAAGUUUCUUCUUCUCCAGUGAUAAAUUUUAAAAUAAAGUUGAUGCUUGAGGGAGUUUAAUGUUUGAAGAAGAAAAGAACAGUGAUCUUCAUCAGACACUCAGAAAGAAAAGCAACUCAGAGAACCAGAAGUGGAAAGGUGAAGCAAAUGGCUGAAGGUGUGACACAAAGCCAAGUGAAGUACAAUGACUGAGCACAAAGGUGGGAGCUGUCUACCAAGACAAUACGAAAAGGUUGAGAUGUUGAAUAAUCAGAAAGAAAAAAGGGAGAAGUUUCCUGGCAGGAAAAAGAAAGGGCAAAAGAGAAAGAAGAAGCACAAUAACAACGUAGACUCAUGCACACAGGAGGCAAAAAGACAUUUCCAGUGAUAGACCAUAUGGACAAAGAUAUAAACAUAAGCGCAGAUGGAUUUCUAAGGCAACAUGCAGAAACCAACCAAAAAUUACAAGAGAAGAAAUGAAUGAGGUGAAUUGUUUAAAAUCUCUACAAAACAAAAAUAAACAUUUUGAAGAGAAAAAAAAAGGGGGAGGGGUGAAGGAAAAAAAAAGAAUAACCUUUUCCAGCAUAACAAAAGCAUUCAUUUUCUAAAAAGGCCACUUUCUGAUACAAUUUUUCCCAUUCAGCCAACGUCAAACAGCUCUAGUUAUGUUUCAGGCCCCUAGGGCAAAACGUAAUCUGUGUUUGAAAUGAGAACAUCUUUGUUCAGACCUUAGGCCAACAGCAACCAAGGGAUCUAUCAGCGCUGUGGAGAAAAACGGCAGGAGGAGAACAGUGGACGAACAUUUUAAUAUCUACAGUUCUUCAUGACAACUUCAAAUAAUGCAGUGCAUUUCCUUCCAUUUCAACUGCUACAACAGCUUCUGCUGUAGGAAGGUGAGGACCAUCCACGACAUGCAGCUAUGUAGCAGAUGCAGUGCAUGGUCUGUUGAGCCCUUCAAAGAUUUUCUGGUCUUUUGCAAGCCGAUCUCUAGUUGAUCAGCCAACUCACUGCACGAGAAUGGUAUAAGCAGUUCAGAUCUAGGGGUGAAAGUCCAUAGCCAUUUGAUAAGCAGCUGACGGAAAGCCUCACCAGGCGGGACUGCCAUCAGUAUCUCUGUGCUCACUCUUUCUCCUCUGUACACUGCUCAGAACAGCAGUUUCACCAUCCCAGUUCCUUCCUGGAGCCACGCAGCACAAAAUUCCCUCUGUUCAUUAAAGCAUUCAUUCAGGAGAAUGGCUGGAAAGCCUGAGAAUGCUGUACCAUUUCAAAGCUUUGUGUCCAGGCUUU